The sequence is a non-coding RNA, 182 nucleotides long. It matches the Rfam family "6S / SsrS RNA". Rfam says of the family: E. coli 6S RNA was the first non coding RNA to be sequenced, but its function was unknown until recently. It consists of 184 nucleotides that fold into an extended hairpin structure with a large single-stranded internal bulge. The record is from Rfam.
UGUUUCCUGGGGUGUUUGCCAGUCUAUUCAUGUCCCUGGCCGAUGCUUUAAACCAAGGAAGUUGACAUACAGCUAUUGUGCAGGCUCGGCGCGUAUCGAGAAGCCUACGGUUGUAGAGAUGCUUCCGCCCUGAACUUUUCGGUUCACGGGCGAAUAAUAGACAGCGGCACUCUGGGAAGCGC